Molecule: long non-coding RNA, 827 nt
Organism: Eucalyptus grandis
Lineage: Eukaryota; Viridiplantae; Streptophyta; Magnoliopsida; Myrtales; Myrtaceae
Exons: 3
Source: RefSeq, a predicted model, not a curated record
UCUGCAGAAAGGCGGCGGGCGUACGCGAGCAAGAGGAAGGACAGGGUUAGAAGGGGCAGGCAUGAGCCUCGCACCGGAGUUGGUGGUCGGGAGGCAGACCGGCAGCAACAGCUGGCUUGGCAGAAGGCCAUGCGCGUCGAUGCUUAAAAAGCGAGAGAGGAGCAAGUGAAGGACAGAGAGUUGGAGAGAGCUUGAGAGAGUAGAGGGCGAGCCAAAGGGAGAGAGUGAGACUCAGAGAGCGUUUCGCCGUCGCAUGAAGUACGCCCGUUGCUCGCCACCCGAACCAGACUCGCAACAAGUCGAUUUUUUGUAAGAUCAAUGAAGAAGGGAGAAGUCAGCUGAUUUUUCCAACGAACCAGAAGCGAGGCCGGUUCAUCAACUAAAGGUCCAAUUCAGUUCAGGAAGAAGAAUGAGAUGGAGUAUCCGGAAAAGUGGGCGAAAAGGGAGUCCGAAUUCAGUGAUCCGGACCCGAACAACCGUGCCUCCGCUAGCGGUUUUACCCUCAUUUUGGAGAAAGAAUGCCCAAUGAUGCAACUUCUCCAAAAUUUGGAAAGUCGCCGGCUAUCAAAAGUGCACGGAGCUAGGAGUCGUUUGAACGAGGAAUCCGUGCGAGAGAGGUCGAGUGGUGGCCCAAUCCAAAUAAGCAAGUACAGAAAUAUUGAUGGCAAAAAGGGUUAGUCAUAUGAGGUCCUAUCUCCUCUAAAGUUCACACAAUUGGAUGUUGUAUUUUUCAUUUAAAAGUUAUUGUUCUUUAAUCGACUGAACAUCGCGCGCGGGCUAUAAAGCUAGUUAUAUAAAAAAGUUUAACAUUUAUGAAAGUUCGAGCA